AAUUUGCGUUAGGGAUUGCAGCGGCAUCCUUUUUAUGUUAAUUCGAGUGUUUUAUUUUGAAGUGAUAACGGAAAAAUAAAAUGUAUCGAGAAUACAUAAAAAGAUACAGCGAAAAGCCCGACCUUUA
RNAcentral lists this small RNA (127 nucleotides) under Tenacibaculum soleae. RNAcentral's name for it is "Flavo-1 RNA". It matches the Rfam family "Flavo-1 RNA". Lineage: Bacteria; Pseudomonadati; Bacteroidota; Flavobacteriia; Flavobacteriales; Flavobacteriaceae. The record is from Rfam by way of RNAcentral.